Molecule: long non-coding RNA, 1799 nt
Organism: Bactrocera oleae (olive fruit fly)
Lineage: Eukaryota; Metazoa; Arthropoda; Insecta; Diptera; Tephritidae
Source: RefSeq, a predicted model, not a curated record
GUGUAAAAAUUUUCAUAAUGUGUCAAAAGUGUAAUUAUAAAUUUGCUGCAAUUAAAGCCGCUGUCAUUCAAACAUCAAAUAUUGUUCAGCUGUCAGCUGCACAGUUCCGUUGAGAGAAAAUCGGAGCCCGAGGAUGAUUGUAGUGAAUUGUUGGAGAAAACUAACCUGAAAAAUUGUCCACGAUUUGCAAGUUGAUGUAACCUCUUAAACAGUAUUACCAUUGAACACAUGAAUGGCAGUGUCGAAAAUAGUUCAGUGCGAAUGUAUAUCGACGUGGCCGGAUUUAGGUUGAUUACAGUUUAAAUAUGUUUUCAUAACUAGAAGACAUAUGCCCCCAAGGGUCCGCUUAGCAAAAUUAAGUCACUUAAUUGCCAACUGAAAAACACAACAACAACUUUACAAUGAAAUUUGAAACGCCACAAUGAUGACGUACGCCAGCCAACUAAACGAUUUCGUGGCAUACCCCUCAACGCUUCGCAACCUUCUGCAACGUUUUUUGCACAACACAGCAUUUAGUUGUUUAAAGUUCAUUGAAUGCGUCGACAACGACACUUUUACGUCAACAAUAAACAACGGAUUUUGCCACGUAAAUGACGUUUAAGCAUGCUAAAGUGCUGUAAAAACAAAAACACAUGACAACAACAAAUGUAAAUGCAUUUCAUGCAAGCAUACGUACAUAGAUUCAGUGCAAUCAGAAAGCAUUUACAAGAGCAAAUACAAAACAAAUAGCAAAGAAAACAACAACAAAAAUACAACAUAACAACAAUGCUAACGCUUAAGCGCACUCAUUUGCACAAAACUCACUUAAAGCAAAUUCAUUCUUUAGUUUUUAGCUUGGCAAAAGCAAUACAACGCUUCAACGCCACAAAAUAGACAAGGCGUGAAAGCGGAAAUGGCACUAGCAGACAGCACUCAGGGGGUCUGAUGGACUAACUGACUAAGAAAUGAAUGGUAGGAUGCAUGCAGACAGCAAAAACACCAACAAAGGCUAGGACAUAACGAGAGGCAGCAGAGGAGUGUACGCGGUGCCUAAAAGUAGACUACACAAUUGUUGGCAGACAUUUUUACGGCCUUUCACUGCUCCACAGGCAUUUGCAUACACAUACAUACAUACAAUAUAUAUAUACAAGCCAUAUAUAUAUAUAUAUAUAUACACUACUACAUGACGUUGGCGUUAGCGCAGCCGUCAGCAUGGUAGUCAGUCAAUCACUGAGGCAAUCGGCCUAACGCACAUUCCGACAAAGUUUUACAAGCCAGCGUGCAGCCUGAGGUGGCAUUUGGCAGGAGCUAUAAACCUUUAAAGCAGCGACAAAAUUCCGUUUGCCUCCUUUUGAAAUUAAAAUAUUGGCCUUAGGCAUAUUUUCCUCUAAUUCUUACACAAACGCACCAUAUGGUUACAGUUGUUCACACUUCAUUCACUUCAUUCUAUGAAAUAACAAUUUUAACGGUGUUUUAUUAAUUAACUUUUAUUUUAAAAACAAAGAAACAGCGAAUUUUUGAUUGCAGACAACUUUGACUGCUAAGCACAACUGCUCGCGAUAGUGCCUAAAAGUAGACAUCAGCUUUAGUGACAGUUAAGUUAGCGUUGCCACACGCUUUUUUUAAGUGGAAAAAAAUUUGUUCAAUUAUGUUUUUAUAAGUAAAGAAAUGGUACAUAUAUUUGUUAUAAAAUAGUUAUAUGAAAAAAAAUAUUUUACAUUAGUUAUAAAUAAUAAUAACUUCAAAAAAAUAAUGCUUUACUUUUUAUAUAUUUAAAAUUUAAUAAACAAUAAAAACACAUAAAACAGCAAUAUUUUAAA